RNAcentral lists this ribosomal RNA (253 nucleotides) under uncultured bacterium. RNAcentral describes it as "partial 16S ribosomal RNA". It matches the Rfam family "Bacterial small subunit ribosomal RNA", at positions 524 to 776 of the family's 1533-position model. The record is from RNAcentral.
UACAGAGGUCUCAAGCGUUGUUCGGAUUCAUUGGGCGUAAAGGGUGCGUAGGUGGCGCUGUAAGUCGGGUGUGAAAUUUCGGAGCUUAACUCCGAAACUGCAUUCGAUACUGCGGUGCUUGAGGACUGGAGAGGAGACUGGAAUUCAUGGUGUAGCAGUGAAAUGCGUAGAGAUCAUGAGGAAGACCAGUGGCGAAGGCGGGUCUCUAGGCCGAUACUGACGCUGAGGAGCGAAAGCGUGGGGAGCGAACAGG